Molecule: ribosomal RNA, 177 nt
Filed under: agricultural soil bacterium CRS5650T18-1
Lineage: Bacteria
Description: partial 16S ribosomal RNA
Rfam family: Bacterial small subunit ribosomal RNA
Source: RNAcentral
CUACGGGAGGCAGCAGUGAGGAAUCUUGCGCAAUGGGCGAAAGCCUGACGCAGCGACGCCGCGUGAGGGAUGAAGGCCUUCGGGUUGUAAACCUCUGUCAGGGGGAAAGAACCCGGAGCCGGUGAAUAACCGGCUCCGCUGACGGUACCCCCAGAGGAAGCACCGGCUAACUCCGUG